RNAcentral lists this ribosomal RNA (1342 nucleotides) under uncultured rumen bacterium. Its description in RNAcentral is "partial 16S ribosomal RNA". It matches the Rfam family "Bacterial small subunit ribosomal RNA", at positions 43 to 1377 of the family's 1533-position model. The record is from RNAcentral.
CAGGCCUAACACAUGCAAGUCGAGGGGCAGCAUGAGCUUAGCUUGCUAAGCUUGAUGGCGACCGGCGCACGGGUGAGUAACGCGUAUCCAACCUUCCCCUUAGUAGGGCAUAGCCCGGUGAAAAUCGGAUUAAUACCCUAUGUUCUUCACAGCGGGCAUCUAACGUGAAGCAAAGGUUCACCGCUAAGGGAUGGGGAUGCGUCUGAUUAGGUAGUCGGCGGGGUAACGGCCCACCGAGCCAUCGAUCAGUAGGGGUUCUGAGAGGAAGGUCCCCCACAUUGGAACUGAGACACGGUCCAAACUCCUACGGGAGGCAGCAGUGAGGAAUAUUGGUCAAUGGUCGAGAGACUGAACCAGCCAAGUAGCGUGCAGGAUGACGGCCCUAUGGGUUGUAAACUGCUUUUAUGCGGGGAUAAAGUCACCCACGUGUGGGUGUUUGCAGGUACCGCAUGAAUAAGGACCGGCUAAUUCCGUGCCAGCAGCCGCGGUAAUACGGAAGGUCCGGGCGUUAUCCGGAUUUAUUGGGUUUAAAGGGAGCGCAGGCGGCCUUUUAAGCGUGACGUGAAAUGCAGACGCCCAACGUCUGAACUGCGUCGCGAACUGGAGGGCUUGAGUGGGUACGACGCCGGCGGAAUUCGUGGUGUAGCGGUGAAAUGCUUAGAUAUCACGAAGAACUCCGAUUGCGAAGGCAGCCGGCGAGUCCUCAACUGACGCUAAAGCUCGAAAGUGCGGGUAUCGAACAGGAUUAGAUACCCUGGUAGUCCGCACGGUAAACGAUGGAUGCCCGCUGUUGGCGAUACAAUGUCAGCGGCCAAGCGAAAGCGUUAAGCAUCCCACCUGGGGAGUACGCCGGCAACGGUGAAACUCAAAGGAAUUGACGGGGGCCCGCACAAGCGGUGGAGCAUGUGGUUUAAUUCGAAGCAACGCGCAGAACCUUACCUGGGUUUGACAUCCUCGGAAUUUUGCAGAGAUGCGGAAGUGCCCUUCGGGGAACCGAGAGACAGGUGCUGCAUGGCUGUCGUCAGCUCGUGUCGUGAGAUGUUGGGUUAAGUCCCGCAACGAGCGCAACCCUUGUCCAUGGUUGCCAUCAUUCAGUUGGGCACUCCAUGGAGACUGCCGGUGUUAAGCCGGAGGAAGGUGGGGAUGACGUCAAGUCCUCAUGGCCCUUAUGUCCAGGGCUACACACGUGCUACAAUGGGCGGUACAAAGAGAAGCGAAGUCGUGAGUCCAAGCGAAUCUCAAAAAGCCGUCCUCAGUUCGGAUUGGAGUCUGCAACCCGACUCCAUGAAGCCGGAAUCGCUAGUAAUCGCGGAUCAGAAUGCUGCGGUGAAUACGUUCCCGG